This 417-nucleotide ribosomal RNA is filed under the name uncultured bacterium. RNAcentral's name for it is "bacterial SSU rRNA". It matches the Rfam family "Bacterial small subunit ribosomal RNA", at positions 917 to 1338 of the family's 1533-position model. The record is from RNAcentral.
GGGCCCGCACAAGCGGUGGAGCAUGUGGUUUAAUUCGAUGAUACGCGAGGAACCUUACCAGGGCUUAAAUGUAGUCUGACAGCUUUAGAGAUAGAGUUUUCUUCGGACAGAUUACAAGGUGCUGCAUGGUUGUCGUCAGCUCGUGCCGUGAGGUGUCAGGUUAAGUCCUAUAACGAGCGCAACCCUGUCGUUAGUUGCCAGCAUGUCAUGAUGGGGACUCUAACGAGACUGCCGGUGCAAACCGCGAGGAAGGUGGGGAUGACGUCAAAUCAUCACGGCCCUUACGUCCUGGGCCACACACGUGCUACAAUGGCCGGUACAGAGAGCAGCCACGUCGCAAGGCGGAGCGAAUCUAUAAAACCGGUCACAGUUCGGAUCGGGGUCUGCAACUCGGCCCCGUGAAGCUGGAAUCGCUAG